AACCGUUCAAUUUCCUUCCAUUAAGAAGGUCUCCACUAUCAUAUUGUUCUCUUAUUAUUCCCCUCUGCAACUUACUUUUGCUUUUCUAUCUCUACAGUCAUGGUUCUGGAUUUUAAUUUGCAAGGAAGGUUAAGAUCGGGAUCCAUGGAUUUUGAAGGAUGGGAAGGUUGGUGGCCAAAGUGGCUCUGUAGAGAGACGAUGUUGAGCUCAUCUCCGUUCAUGAUCCCUUCAUUUCCAUUGAAUACAUGAUCUCCAUUCUACAGCAACGCCUUGAGAGCAUGGGCCCCAAAUGCACGUUGUUCAUAUUGCAAGUUUGACAGGAAACAUGGUAAGCAGAAUGGAGUAAUAAAUGCAAUGUGGAAAAGCUUUGAUUUAGCUAACUAGUAUUCAGAAUUACCGUUUUAAAGUCACAUUGAUGAUCUGCUAAGCACUCUAGCUUCAUCUAGUGAAGAAGAAGAUUCUUGGCCAUGCGAAGUAUUCCAGCUUCAUCUAAUGAUACCAUCGAUUUUGAAGGGAGGAGCAAUGCAUAAAGGGAGACAAAUAUGGGAUUUGUGCUUAUGGUGGCAGAUCUAGGAUUUAGGCAUUUAACGAAUCUUCAGCCACCUAAGAAUAGAAUCGAAAACCAAAAAUUGAAGUAACCAAAAAUCAAAAACUCAUAACUAAAGCAAACAAAAAAAGAUCAAAUUAAAAAAAAGAAAAGGAAAAACUGAGAACUGAAGUAACCAAGAAAGAGAAUCAAAAACCAAAUAACAAGAGUAAAGUUAAUGAACCCCAAAUAAGACUAGUAAUAAACAAUUUGAAGAAGAGUAAUUAAUGGAUGAUGAUAAUGGGUUACUAAGACUUUGGGUAAUUGACAAGGGGUGGUAGUUUUGGAGGAAUCUGGAUUAUUUCUUUGGG
Molecule: unclassified non-coding RNA, 897 nt
Filed under: Hevea brasiliensis (rubber tree)
Lineage: Eukaryota; Viridiplantae; Streptophyta; Magnoliopsida; Malpighiales; Euphorbiaceae
Source: RNAcentral